UGGGGAAUUUUGGACAAUGGGGGCAACCCUGAUCCAGCCAUGCCGCGUGAGUGAAGAAGGCCUUCGGGUUGUAAAGCUCUUUCGUGAGGGAAGAAACGGUCAAAGUGAAUAGCUUUGGUCACUGACGGUACCUCAAGAAGAAGCACCGGCUAACUACGUGCCAGCAGCCGCGGUAAUACGUAGGGUGCGAGCGUUAAUCGGAAUUACUGGGCGUAAAGCGUGCGCAGGCGGUUUGUUAAGUCAGAUGUGAAAGCCCCGGGCUUAACCUGGGAACUGCGUUUGAGACUGGCAAGCUAGAGUCUGUCAGAGGGGGGUAGAAUUCCACGUGUAGCAGUGAAAUGCGUAGAGAUGUGGAGGAAUACCGAUGGCGAAGGCAGCCCCCUGGGAUAAGACUGACGCUCAUGCACGAAAGCGUGGGGAGCAAACAGG
RNAcentral lists this ribosomal RNA (429 nucleotides) under uncultured Ferrovum sp. Its description in RNAcentral is "bacterial SSU rRNA". It matches the Rfam family "Bacterial small subunit ribosomal RNA", at positions 355 to 776 of the family's 1533-position model. Lineage: Bacteria; Pseudomonadati; Pseudomonadota; Betaproteobacteria; Ferrovales; Ferrovaceae. The record is from RNAcentral.